AUUGAACGCUGGCGGCAGGCCUAACACAUGAACGUCGAACGAGUGGCGGACGGGUGAGUAAUGUCUGGGAAACUGCAUGCUGGCGGGGGAUAACUACUGGAAACGGUAGCUAAUACCGCAUACCAUCAGAUGUGCCCAGAUGGGAUUAGCUUGGUGGUGGGGUAACGGCUCACCAAGGCGACGAUCCCGAGCUGGUCUGAGAGGAGGACCAGCCACACUGGGAUUGAGACACGGCCCAGACUCUGACGGGAGGCAGCAGUGGGGAAUUUUGGACAAUGGGGGCAACCCUGAUCCAGCCAUGCCGCGUGUAUGAAGAAGGCCUUCGGGUUGUAAAGUACGUUUGUUAGGGAAGCGGUACCUAAAGAAUAAGCACCGGCUAACUACGUGCCAGCAGCCGCGGUAAUUC
Molecule: ribosomal RNA, 406 nt
Filed under: uncultured bacterium
Lineage: Bacteria
Description: partial 16S ribosomal RNA
Rfam family: Bacterial small subunit ribosomal RNA
Source: RNAcentral